AAGUCGUAACAAGGUUUCCGUAGGUGAACCUGCGGAAGGAUCAUUAACAAUUUCCAUUAAAAUAUAUACAAGAGUUAUGGUUGAAUGUGGUGUUGUACAUUAUCAUCAUCAUCAUCGUAUGUGUGUGUGUGUGUGCACGCGUUCAAUCAUUAAUCUCAACACGAACAUUUAAUACUUAUGACAACUAAUGGUGAAAGUGUAUGCGUGUGUGUAUUGUGAGGAUACACAGUAACGUUACGCGAAUAACACACGAGAGAAUCGUUAAAACAACUUUUAACAAUGGAUCUCUUGGCUCUU
Molecule: unclassified non-coding RNA, 297 nt
Filed under: fungal sp.
Lineage: Eukaryota; Fungi
Description: partial internal transcribed spacer region
Rfam family: Eukaryotic small subunit ribosomal RNA (bases 1-46)
Source: RNAcentral